CCACACCGUAAACGAUGGAUACUAGGUGUAGGGGAUGAAUAAUCUUCUGUGCCGUCGCAAACGCAGUAAGUAUCCCACCUGGGGAGUACGGCCGCAAGGUUGAAACUCAAAGGAAUUGACGGGGGCCCGCACAAGCAGUGGAGUAUGUGGUUUAAUUCGACGCAACGCGAAGAACCUUACCAGGGCUUGACAUAUAUAUGAAAGUCUAAGAGAUUAGACCCCUCUUCGGAGCAUAUAUACAGGUGGUGCAUGGUUGU
This 257-nucleotide ribosomal RNA is filed under the name uncultured bacterium. Its description in RNAcentral is "partial 16S ribosomal RNA". It matches the Rfam family "Bacterial small subunit ribosomal RNA", at positions 795 to 1052 of the family's 1533-position model. The record is from RNAcentral.